GGGUGCGGCCAGGAUCGAAGGCAGAUCGCCAAUUACGCUGCUCUCGUGGACCCACCUGUAAAAUCCGCUCCAGAUACCAAGCGUUGACUGACAAAGGGAUCUUGCUCCGCCGACCAAGCAAGCAGCAUGGAUCCGCCGGAUCCGCCGCCACCGGCGGCGCUAAUGGACGAGCUCGUCGAAGAGGUCCUCCUCCGCGUCCCGCCGGACGACCCCGCGCUGCUCGUCCGCGCCGCCCUCGUCUGCGAGCGCUGGUGCGGCCUCGUCUCCGGCCCCGGCUUCCGCCGCAGGUUCCGCGAGCUCCACCGCGCGCCCCCCAUGCUCGGCUUCCUCGGCAACAUCGGGUCAGGUUUCCGCUUCAUCUCCACCUCCACCUUCCGCCUGCCCCAUGCCGGCCGCCGCAACUGGCGCGUGAUCGACGCCCGCCACGGCCGCGUCCUCCUCCACUGGGACUGCGGCUACAACCCUUUCGAGAGUAGCCUCAUCAUCUGGGACCCAACAACGGACGAGCGCAGGGAGGUGCCCCCGUUGCCGCCGUCUUCCGUGUACCCGUACAGCUGGAACGCGGCGGUGCUCUGCGCCGGCGGCGGCGCCUGCGACCACCUCGACUGCCACCGCGGACACUUCCUCGUGGUCGUCGUGGGCACCAAUCAGAAAGACAUGUUCGGUUACGUCUACUCAUCGGAGGGUGGUGCGUGGAGCGAGCCGACAUCUGCUCAGCAUCCCCAUGACAGCGUCGAUUUCACGCCCAGUGCUCUUGCGGGGAAUGCACUCUACUUCGUAUUUCAGAUGGGCACCAGAAUCCUCGAGUACAAUUUGGGCACACAUGAAAUGGCAGUGAUUGACCUGCCACCACUACGCUUCUAUGGGCAGCGCAUUGUGCUCAGUACUAGGGAUGAUGGCGGGCUCGGAUUCGCCACAGCAGAUAAGUCCACCAUCUACCUGUGGUCGAGGGAGGCUCAUCCUCAAGGAGAAUCGCAUUGGGUGCAGAGCAGAGUCAUUGAGCUCGAGAUGCUGCUCCCUGUUGAUGCCCUCUCAACCUUUUCUGAUGUGGUUAGCUUUGUGGAUGGCAUUGGUAUUUAUUUUGUGCGGACAGGUGAUGGAAUCUUCACCAUUGAUCUAAAGUCUAGCCAGGUCACAAAGGUGUGCAGGGACAGUGGCUUCUCUGGCAUUUUCCCCUACAUGAGCUUCCACACUCCAGCAUUGGGAGUGGCCUCUACAGACGAGGGACCAAAAGCGGGUGCCUCAAGUGCUUGAUAAAAUAAGGUGCUUAUGUGCGGGUUUCUCGGUCCAGGGGAAAUCAGGACAACCCUUUAGCAUCAGUGUGGAGGUGCUCAAUGCUCUCAAACAUUCCUUUCAGCAAGCACCAGUUUGUGAAAACAUUCAGGCCCCAUAUGGAAUAUAUGAAUUUCUCAUGAAUGAGUACAAUUCCUACAGAAAUCCUUCAAAAUUCCUAGCUAGGAACGGGUCUUAGCUGUGUUUAUUGAACGCUGAUAUUUUUAGUAGUUCACUUACAGAAGAAAACGCAUGGAAAGGUUGAAAGGAUAGCUGACCGAUUGACAUUAACAUUGUGGAUAUGAAAGGUUGAGAAACAUCUGUACACCAUACAUGUGUAUUAGUUUUUUAAUAGUUCAUAUUCUGUAUGUCGGUUAGAGAACCGUCACUGCUCUCUUCAGCAGCAGUGUCGGCACGACGGAGGAUGCAAGAUACAUUAUUCAGGUUUUCAGAUAUUGUUGGAGCAUGUGCUAUCCUUAUUCCUUAAUGCUCAGGUAAUAUUUGCAGAGCACUAUCCUCUUGAAAUAACAUUUAACAUUUUACCGCUAACGAUAUCAGCUAACACAAGAGAAUUAUUUCCUUUGUUGAAAAUUUGUGGUGCAAAAUCUGUUGCCUAGAGGCAACUCGUGUUCAGUCUGUCCAAAGUGUAACAGGGGACACCGGUUAACACAGUUCCUGGCUGAUAUAUGGAACAUACAUCGGCCUCUGAUCUUACAAUCUGAUUUCUCUGACCUUCAUAUCACAUGUGCUCUUACAGAGAAAUUACAUAGAUCAUAGAUGGUGAUGGCUCAGUGGACCAUUAAGCAAAGGCUCAGGAGUCAACAGUCAAGAGCUGUACCUGUUCUCAGCUAGCUAGUAGUCUAGUACUGGUAGUAAUUGUCAACAAAGAUAGAGACAGCUGUCCCAAAGGUCAAACAUGUGAAUGGACUAUUGACUCUCUCAGAUUAGUUGUUCUUAUACGUGCUUGCUUUCCUUGAGUUCAAUUAUUCUCAUAUGUCCUUGUUCUCAUUGGAGUUUUGACGAGAAACAUAGAAUACAAAGAGUUUCAGAGACAUCAAACUUACUGUGUGUUGUCUUGCCUAUCUUCAGCGUUGUCUUCCGGAGGAGUGAGAGAGAGGGCCUCCAAAUGGAUAAUUUCCUUUCUGCAGUACUGGGCGAGCUGACCAAUAGAUCCAUAAAUUUCAUCAUC
Phragmites australis (common reed) is the source of this 2461-nucleotide RNA transcript. RefSeq lists it as uncharacterized. The record is from RefSeq and is a predicted model, not a curated record. NCBI's taxonomy places the organism in Eukaryota, Viridiplantae, Streptophyta, Magnoliopsida, Poales, Poaceae. The transcript is spliced from 3 exons.